Long non-coding RNA from Peromyscus eremicus (cactus mouse), 738 nucleotides. RefSeq lists it as uncharacterized. The record is from RefSeq and is a predicted model, not a curated record. The transcript has 5 exons. Lineage: Eukaryota; Metazoa; Chordata; Mammalia; Rodentia; Cricetidae.
AGUCGGCAUGGAACCUACAGCCUGGAGCACAGAGGACAGUGGGAAAAUCAGUCACAUGGAACCUCCAGCCUGGAGCACAGAGGACAGUGGGAAAAUCAGUCACAUGGAACCUCCAGCCUGGAGCACAGAGGACAGUGGGAAAAUCAGUCACAUGGAACCUCCAGCCUAGAGCACAGAGGACAGUGGGAAAAUCAGUCGGCAUGGAACCUCCAGCCUGGAGCACAGAGGACAGUGGGAAAAUUAGAAUGGUCUUCUGUUGGCUGCGAAUUCACCAAAUCUGCAAGAACACAGGAGUUGAAAAGCCUAAUUCUUACCAAGGCCCAACAAGUCCAUGACAGGGGCUGCAGAUUUUGGGGAGCUUUUCCGAGACUAUAUGCUCCCAGAAGAUCUGCUACACAGCCAGUGUCCUACGGAAAUGAAGUGGGUAUGACCUCACUUCUGGACUGCUUCAUGCUGCAGCAGGGGAAGGAGAUGACUGUGAGGAGUCCUUUGCAUUAGGUUGGGAAGGAAUUCCUCGUCCCUUACUGCCUGCACUACCUUGCAUUUACCUGCCUGUCGAGACUCACCAGAUUCCUGUGGAUCCCAGCACACCGAAUGCAGAUAAACACGCCGAUGUUCCAGGAGGCCCAUCGCGGCCCUGUGAAGAUCAAGACGAGACAAUCAAGUACAAAUUAUGAGACUGUCCCAGGCCAUCUGUGCUAUUUAGAUUAUCAAGCAACAUUUCUGCUAAAACCAAAU